This 253-nucleotide ribosomal RNA is filed under the name uncultured bacterium. Its description in RNAcentral is "partial 16S ribosomal RNA". It matches the Rfam family "Bacterial small subunit ribosomal RNA", at positions 524 to 776 of the family's 1533-position model. The record is from RNAcentral.
UACGAAGGGGGCUAGCGUUGCUCGGAAUCACUGGGCGUAAAGGGUGCGUAGGCGGGUCUUUAAGUCAGGGGUGAAAUCCUGGAGCUCAACUCCAGGACUGCCUUUGAUACUGAGGAUCUUGAGUCCGGGAGAGGUGAGUGGAACUGCGAGUGUAGAGGUGAAAUUCGUAGAUAUUCGCAAGAACACCAGUGGCGAAGGCGGCUCACUGGCCCGGUACUGACGCUGAGGUGCGAAAGCGUGGGGAGCAAACAGG